GAGUUCGAUUCAGGCUUAGAUUGAACGCUGGCGGCAGGCCUAACACAUGCAAGUCGAGCGGUAACACAAGGGAGCUUGCUCCUGAGGUGACGAGCGGCGGACGGGUGAGUAACGCGUGGGUAUCUGCCCUGGAGUGGGGGACAACCGCUGGAAACGGCGGCUAAUACCGCAUACGCCCUUAGGGGGAAAGCUUUAUGCGUCGGACCUCACGCUAUCAGAGGAGCCUGCGUUGGAUUAGCUUGUUGGUGAGGUAAAAGCUCACCAAGGCGACGAUCCAUAGCUGGUCUGAGAGGAUGAUCAGCCACACUGGGACUGAGACACGGCCCAGACUCCUACGGGAGGCAGCAGUGGGGAAUAUUGGACAAUGGGGGCAACCCUGAUCCAGCUAUGCCGCGUGUGUGAAGAAGGCCUUCGGGUUGUAAAGCACUUUCAGCGAGGAGGAAAGGUUAUGGGUUAAUACUCAAUAGCUGUGACGUUACUCGCAGAAGAAGGACCGGCUAACUCCGUGCCAGCAGCCGCGGUAAUACGGAGGGUCCGAUCGUUAAUCGGAAUUACUGGGCGUAAAGCGCGCGUAGGCGGUUAAAUCAGUCAGAUGUGAAAGCCCUGGGCUCAACCUGGGAACUGCAUCUGAUACUGUUUAACUAGAGUUUGGUAGAGGAGUGUGGAAUUUCCUGUGUAGCGGUGAAAUGCGUAGAUAUAGGAAGGAACACCAGUGGCGAAGGCGACACUCUGGACCAAAACUGACGCUGAAGGUGCGAAAGCGGGGGACAAAACAGGAUUAGAUCCCCUGGUAGUCCACGCCGUAAACGAUGUCUACUAGCCGUUGGGAGACUUGAUCUCUUAGUGGCGCAGCUAACGCAAUAAGUAGACCGCCUGGGGAGUACGGUCGCAAGAUUAAAACUCAAAUGAAUUGACGGGGGCCCGCACAAGCGGUGGAGCAGGUUUAAUUCGAAGCAACGCGAAGAACCUUACCCGCUCUUGACAUCCACAGAACUUUCCAGAGAUGGAUUGGCGCCUUCGGGAACUGUGAGACAGGUGCUGCAUGGCUGUCGUCAGCUCGUGUUGUGAAAUGUUGGGUUAAGUCCCGUAACGAGCGCAACCCUUGUCCUUAUUUGCCAGCGAGUUAUGUCGGGAACUUUAAGGAGACUGCCGGUGACAAACCGGAGGAAGGUGGGGACGACGUCAAGUCAUCAUGACCCUUACGAGCGGGGCUACACACGUGCUACAAUGGCCAGGACAAACGGUUGCAACCCCGCGAGGGCAAGCUAAUCUGAGAAACCUGGUCGUAGUCCGGAUCGCAGUCUGCAACUCGACUGCGUGAAGUCGGAAUCGCUAGUAAUCGUGAAUCAGAAUGUCACGGUGAAUACGUUCCCGGGCCUUGUACACACCGCCCGU
RNAcentral lists this ribosomal RNA (1395 nucleotides) under uncultured prokaryote. RNAcentral's name for it is "partial 16S ribosomal RNA". It matches the Rfam family "Bacterial small subunit ribosomal RNA". The record is from RNAcentral.